Molecule: ribosomal RNA, 460 nt
Filed under: uncultured bacterium
Lineage: Bacteria
Description: partial 16S ribosomal RNA
Rfam family: Bacterial small subunit ribosomal RNA
Source: RNAcentral
CCUACGGGUGGCAGCAGUGAGGAAUAUUGGUCAAUGGACGAGAGUCUGAACCAGCCAAGUAGCGUGAAGGAUGACUGCCCUAUGGGUUGUAAACUUCUUUUAUAUGGGAAUAAAAUGUUCCACGUGUGGGAUUUUGUAUGUACCAUAUGAAUAAGGAUCGGCUAACUCCGUGCCAGCAGCCGCGGUAAUACGGAGGAUCCGAGCGUUAUCCGGAUUUAUUGGGUUUAAAGGGAGCGUAGGUGGAUUGUUAAGUCAGUUGUGAAAGUUUGCGGCUCAACCGUAAAAUUGCAGUGGAAACUGGCAGUCUUGAGUACAGUAGAGGUGGGCGGAAUUCGUGGUGUAGCGGUGAAAUGCUUAGAUAUCACGAAGAACUCCGAUUGCGAAGGCAGUUCACUGGACUGCAACUGACACUGAGGCUCGAAAGUGUGGGUAUCAAACAGGAUUAGAUACCCGUGUAGUC